Long non-coding RNA from Oryzias latipes (Japanese medaka), 487 nucleotides. RefSeq lists it as uncharacterized. The record is from RefSeq and is a predicted model, not a curated record. NCBI's taxonomy places the organism in Eukaryota, Metazoa, Chordata, Actinopteri, Beloniformes, Adrianichthyidae.
ACGUAACGUGAAGUGGUUUCCAUGGUAACCACGCGCUUCGUGCCUUAAACACAGCUUUGGACUGCGCGUCCUCCUGAAUUUCCUCGCUUUUUAGUUCUGUCAUUUCAGUUUAAGGGAUCACAGCGAUGUCUCUGUCUCAGGAGUAUCAGGCAGGCAGUAGCAGCCCACAGUGCACCAACCCUGGAAACCCAGUCUUCUCCUGUCUUAUGAAUGCGGUGCUGAAAGAUGUGGAAUUGGAGGACAUUACGAAGGCCAUGAGUGUUCUGUACAGAACAACAUCCAGAGACUAUGGACUUCUACCUCCAACCUCUGAAAGUGCACCAUGCACUUACCACCCCAAAUCGCAGACAUUUUCUGAACACCUGAGCAAGGCAGGGAUGUAUCGCAACAACUCCUUUAAUACAUCCCUUGACCGAAGCCGGGUGUUUGACUGUCCCAAUCUACAGCACACUGUCUAGAUUUGUUCUUAGUAAACAUGUCCUUCCAA